This 493-nucleotide ribosomal RNA is filed under the name uncultured bacterium. RNAcentral describes it as "partial 16S ribosomal RNA". It matches the Rfam family "Bacterial small subunit ribosomal RNA", at positions 29 to 523 of the family's 1533-position model. The record is from RNAcentral.
AUUGAACGCUGGCGGCAGGCCUAACACAUGCAAGUCGAACGGUAACAGGUUAAGCUGACGAGUGGCGAACGGGUGAGUAAUGCAUCGGAACGUGCCCGGUCGUGGGGGAUAACGCAGCGAAAGCUGCGCUAAUACCGCAUACGAUCUAAGGAUGAAAGCGGGGGACCGUAAGGCCUCGCGCGAUCGGAGCGGCCGAGGGAAGAUUAGUUAGUUGGUGGGGUAAAGGCUCACCAAGCCAACGAUCUGUAGCUGGUCUGAGAGGACGACCAGCCACACUGGGACUGAGACACGGCCCAGACUCCUACGGGAGGCAGCAGUGGGGAAUUUUGGACAAUGGGCGAAAGCCUGAUCCAGCAAUGCCGCGUGCAGGAAGAAGGCCUUCGGGUUGUAAACUGCUUUUGUACGGAGCGAAAAGGUCUCCUCUAAUACAGGGGGCUCAUGACGGUACCGUAAGAAUAAGCACCGGCUAACUACGUGCCAGCAGCCGCCGCCG